Molecule: ribosomal RNA, 468 nt
Filed under: uncultured bacterium
Lineage: Bacteria
Description: partial 16S ribosomal RNA
Rfam family: Bacterial small subunit ribosomal RNA
Source: RNAcentral
GACGAACGCUGGCGGUGUGCUUAACACAUGCCAGUCGAACGGAAAGGCCCUGCUUUUGUGGGGUGCUCGAGUGGCGAACGGGUGAGUAACACGUGAGUAACCUGCCCUUGACUUUGGGAUAACUUCAGGAAACUGGGGCUAAUACCGGAUAGGAGCUCCUGCUGCAUGGUGGGGGUUGGAGAGUUUCGGCGGUUGGGGAUGGACUCGCGGCUUAUCAGCUUGUUGGUGGGGUAGUGGCUUACCAAGGCUUUGACGGGUAGCCGGCCUGAGAGGGUGACCGGCCACAUUGGGACUGAGAUACGGCCCCGACUCCUACGGGAGGCAGCAGUGGGGAAUAUUGCACAAUGGGCGGAAGCCUGAUGCAGCAACGCCGCGUGCGGGAUGACGGCCUUCGGGUUGUAAACCGCUUUCGCCUGUGACGAAGCGUGAGUGACGGUAAUGGGUAAAGAAGCACCGGCUAACUACGUG